Molecule: ribosomal RNA, 412 nt
Filed under: uncultured microorganism
Description: bacterial SSU rRNA
Rfam family: Archaeal small subunit ribosomal RNA
Source: RNAcentral
GCGCACCAGUCGCGAAACCUCCGCAAUACACGAAAGUGUGACGGGGCCAUCCCGAGUGCCGUCCGCUGAGGACGGCUUUUCCCCAGUGUACACAGCUGGGGGAAUAAGGAGAGGGCAAGCCUGGUGUCAGCCGCCGCGGUAAUACCAGCUCUCCGAGUGGUGGGGACGCUUAUUGGGCCUAAAGCAUCCGUAGCCGGCUGGGCAAGUCCUCCGUUAAAUCCAACGAUUCAAUCGUUGGGCUGCGGGGGAUACUGUCCAGCUUGGGGGCGGGAGAGGCCGACGGUAUUCCCGGGGUAGGGGUGAAAUCCUAUAAUCCCGGGAGGACCACCAGUGGCGAAGGCUGUCGGCUAGAACGCGCCCGACGGUGAGGGAUGAAAGCUGGGGGAGCGAACCGGAUUAGAUACCGUGUAGU